Molecule: ribosomal RNA, 597 nt
Filed under: uncultured bacterium
Lineage: Bacteria
Description: bacterial SSU rRNA
Rfam family: Bacterial small subunit ribosomal RNA
Source: RNAcentral
CCUACGGGAGGCAGCAGUUGGGAAUAUUGGACAAUGGGCACACGCCUGAUCCAGCAAUCCCGCGUGAGUGAUGAAGGCCUUCGGGUCGUAAAGCUCUUUUAGCAGGGAAGAAGGGGUAACCUUGACGGUACCUGCAGAAAAAGCACCGGCUAACUCUGUGCCAGCAGCCGCGGUAAUACAGAGGGUGCAAGCGUUGUUCGGAAUCAUUGGGCGUAAAGCGCGAGUAGGCGGUCUCUUAAGUCUGAUGUGAAAGCCCAGGGCUCAACCCUGGAAGUGCAUUGGAUACUGGGAGACUAGAGGGUGUAAGAGGAGAGUGGAAUUCAUGGUGUAGGGGUGAAAUCCGUAGAUAUCAUGAGGAACAUCAGUGGCGAAGGCGGCUCUCUGGUACAUUUCUGACGCUCAGACGCGAAAGCAUGGGGAGCAAACAGGAUUAGAUACCCUGGUAGUCCAUGCCCUAAACGAUGAAUACUAGUUAUCGGGAUACCUAAUUGUCUCGGUANACGUAGCUAACGCAUAGUAUUCCGCCUGGGAUACGGUCGCAGAUUAAACNCAAAGGAAUUGACCGGNNGAGAGNGCGAGACGACGACGAGGAGGAGG